GGGGAAUAAAAUAUCACCGGGAGCGCCCCUCUUUGGCCAAGGAGCGUUACUGGCAACGCUGCCUUUUAUUGAAUUAGGUGCUGAUCGGAUGGAUCGGACGGGAUGCCCGAAAGAGCAAAUUCAGCAGGGGAGUCCAUGGCAAGACUGAAGUCCAAGUUUCCACUGCCAAUGGGAGCAACACGUACAACAUGGCCAGCAGAUCAAGUCCCCACGGCAAAUUAAACAGGACUGAUGUACUGCCCUCUCCUGGACAAUGCCUGCCAUGACUGCUGUAAUGUGGGUCACAGACGGAAUCCUGCAGCACUGCAUUUCAUUCCCACCAGUGGGGUUGCCGCAGGUGAUAAUUUUAUUUGGGGUAGUGGGGUCAGUAUCAAGAUUCAAAACCUAGUCUGUGUCAAAGGAGGCUACAAAGUUUGCUGCAAUAUACUACUGACAUACUGUUAUACCAAAUACAUGCUGUGCGUGACAAAGCAGCACGUUCCCCUCCCUGAAUAAGAUAAGUCAAACUUUCCCAAGACCCUGCUCCUUUAGCCUUACAGUUUACACCACACAAAGUCCAAACUUUCAACUGCAGACCUUUAGUGAGGAGCAACAGAAUGUUUAAGCCUCACAGUUUGGUUACUGAAGUUCUUAGGAAAUUUGUUCUGAUUUGUGCAAUAAGAGACUUUUCCAAGAACAAUAGCAUUCACCAACCUUGGGAACAAUCAGGCCAUUUUAACUGUCUAUACUGUAUAUAUAAUACUCUCCCAAAGUCUUAGGCAGUCAAACAAAAUGUUUAAGGCUAUUUUCCUGAGUAGUAAGUGUAUAUUUGUGCAUAAAAACACAUUAACAAUGAACAUAUGCCACUUAAGAGUAACAUAAUAAAAUAUAAUGAAUUUC
Long non-coding RNA from Paramormyrops kingsleyae, 879 nucleotides. RefSeq lists it as uncharacterized. The record is from RefSeq and is a predicted model, not a curated record. Lineage: Eukaryota; Metazoa; Chordata; Actinopteri; Osteoglossiformes; Mormyridae.